UACAGAGGUCUCAAGCGUUGUUCGGAUUCAUUGGGCGUAAAGGGUGCGUAGGCGGCCUGUUAAGUCUUGCGUGAAAUCUCGGGGCUCAACCCCGAGCGGUCGUGAGAAACUGGCAGGCUAGAGUGCGGGAGAGGAGAGUGGAAUUCCUGGUGUAGCGGUGAAAUGCGCAGAUAUCAGGAAGAACACCAAUGGCGAAGGCAGCUCUCUGGGACGGUACUGACGCUGAGACGCGAAAGCGUGGGGAGCGAACAGG
Molecule: ribosomal RNA, 253 nt
Filed under: uncultured bacterium
Lineage: Bacteria
Description: partial 16S ribosomal RNA
Rfam family: Bacterial small subunit ribosomal RNA
Source: RNAcentral